UCCCUCGAAGCAUUGGCGGUGAUGCAAUAGACUUUUAAUCUAUGGAAUCGAGUUCGACUCUCGCCGGGGGAA
RNAcentral lists this transfer RNA (72 nucleotides) under Candidatus Riesia sp. Its description in RNAcentral is "tRNA-Lys". It matches the Rfam family "tRNA". From Rfam's summary of the family: Transfer RNA (tRNA) molecules are approximately 80 nucleotides in length. Their secondary structure includes four short double-helical elements and three loops (D, anti-codon, and T loops). The record is from RNAcentral. Lineage: Bacteria; Pseudomonadati; Pseudomonadota; Gammaproteobacteria; Enterobacterales; Enterobacteriaceae.